UAUACUCUUAGCGGUGGAUCACUUGGCUCGUGGAUCGAUGAAGAACGCAGCUAGCUGCGAUAAAUAGUGCGAAUUGCAGACGCAUUGAGCACAAAGAUUUCGAACGCACAUUGCACUAUCGGGUUGAUUCCCGAUGGUACGUCUGGUUGAGGGUCA
Molecule: ribosomal RNA, 156 nt
Filed under: Acanthocheilonema spirocauda
Lineage: Eukaryota; Metazoa; Nematoda; Chromadorea; Rhabditida; Onchocercidae
Description: 5.8S ribosomal RNA
Rfam family: 5.8S ribosomal RNA
About the family: 5.8S ribosomal RNA (5.8S rRNA) is a component of the large subunit of the eukaryotic ribosome.
Source: RNAcentral